GAUGAACGCUGGCGGCGUGCCUAAUACAUGCAAGUCGAGCGAACGGACGAGAAGCUUGCUUCUCUGAUGUUAGCGGCGGAAGGGUGAGUAACACGUGGAUAACCUACCUAUAAGACUGGGAUAACUUCGGGAAACCGGAGCUAAUAACGGAUAAUAUUUUGAACCGCAUGGUUCAAAAGUGAAAGACGGUCUUGCUGUCACUUAUACAUGGAUCCGCGCUGUAUUAGCUAGUUGGUACGGUAACUGCUUACCAAGGCAACGAUGCAUAGCCGACCUGAGAGGGUGAUCGGCCACACUGGAACGUGGACACGGUCCAGACUCCUACGGGAGGCAGCAGUAGGGAAUCUUCCGCAAUGGGCGGAAGCCUGACGGAGCAACGCCGCGUGAGUGAUGAAGGUCUUCGGAUCGUAAAACUCUGUUAUUAGGGAAGAACAUAUGUGUAAGUAACUGUGCACAUCUUGACGGUACCUAAUCAGAAAGCCACGGCUAACUACGUG
Molecule: ribosomal RNA, 497 nt
Filed under: uncultured bacterium
Lineage: Bacteria
Description: partial 16S ribosomal RNA
Rfam family: Bacterial small subunit ribosomal RNA
Source: RNAcentral